Molecule: long non-coding RNA, 1022 nt
Filed under: Apteryx haastii (Great spotted kiwi)
Lineage: Eukaryota; Metazoa; Chordata; Aves; Apterygiformes; Apterygidae
Description: lncRNA (ENSAHAG00000016335.1)
Source: RNAcentral
CCCCACGUCCCCAGGGCCACCUCCAGGGCCGUCGCCGCGUCCCCAAGGAGACGCAGGGAGGCGGUGGCGGGCGGGGGCCAGGGUUUAUUGGGGGGGGGUGGGCGGGUGACGUCCCCGUCCCCGCGGCGUCACUUGUAGAACUCGUGCUCCUGCUCGUCCUUCUUGAUGACCGUCUUGUAGGCCUUCUCGAAGUCCUUGGCCAGCACGAUGUAGCGGUUCUCCCGCACCGCCAGCAUGCCACCCUGCGGGGACACGGCCCGGUGACGCCCCCGUCACCUCCCCCCGGGGCUGCGCCCGCCCCGGCGAGGCGGCUCGGUGGCGCCGGCGUCACCUUUCCCGGGGCUGCGCCCGCCCCGGGGGGACUGUUGGGGCAGCCGCCGUGGUGGCCUCUGGUUGGGGAUGGGGUGAAAUGUCACCUGUGUCACCUCCCCUGGUUGGGGACAGGGCAAAAUGGCACCUGUGUCACCUCCCCUGGUUGGGGACGUGGUGAAAUGGCACCUGUGUCACCUCCCCUGGAUGCCCCUGGUUGGGGACAGGGCAAAACGUCACCUGUCACCUCCCCCCCAAUGGCACCUGGUUGGGGACGCAGCGCCGGUGUCACCCCCCGUCACCCGCCGAUGGCCCCGUCACCCGUGUCACCCCCGUCACCCUGCCGCGGAGGGAUACGGCAACGGCGUCACCCUGCCGCGGGGGCGCAAGGCACCCGUGUCCCCAGUGUCCCCUCCUGCGUCCUCGAUGUCCCUCGUGUCCCCAAUGUCCCACUUGGGUCCCCCAGGAUCCCCCCGUCCCCAUGGGGAACCCGAUGUCCCCUGGGGUCUCCCCUGUCCCUUUGGGGUCCCUGGUGUCCCCUGAGGUCCCCAAUGUCCCUGAAGGUCUCCACUGUCCCUUUGGGGUCCUUGAUGUCCCCCGGGGUCCCCAAUGUCCCUUUGGGGCCCCCGGUGUCCCCAAUGUCCCCUGGGGUCUCCCUUGUCUCUUUGGGGUCCCUGAUGUCCCCUGGGGUCCCCGAUGUCCCCAAAGGUCUU